AUGCAAAUCAGCCUGAAGCUCUUUAUGCAUAUGUGAAUAUCCAUAUCGCAGCAUUCGCAUGCCUCCCCGGCAUAGACAGGUAAGA
This 85-nucleotide small RNA is filed under the name Bacteroides nordii. Its description in RNAcentral is "Bacteroides-1 RNA". It matches the Rfam family "Bacteroides-1 RNA". Lineage: Bacteria; Pseudomonadati; Bacteroidota; Bacteroidia; Bacteroidales; Bacteroidaceae. RNAcentral also lists the same sequence under 2 other names. The record is from RNAcentral.